CCCAAUCGGAGAAGAAGAAGGUGAGGAGCACCAGGAAGAAGGGAGAAGAAGCUGACCAAUCAGGGGACGGAAAGGAGGAAAAGGAGAGAGUGGUGCGGGGGGAACAGGAGGGAACACCCAGCUUCCAGGCGGGUUUUCCCAAGAAAAUCGCCUUAAUCAUCAUUAGACGUCAAGACAUUGAUUUCGUUGUAUUUCGCGACACCCCUAGGGUUUUUGUUUAAAGAUUUGAGCAUUCGUUGAAACAACACCCUACAAAUUCUAGGGUUCUUCACCUAGGUUUUGGUGAAAUUGAAGCACUUCCAGGCCAAAUUGGCCUUGGUCUCAGGUAUGAAAGUUGUUCUACUCAUUGAGAUCUUCAAAUCUGGCAAAUUUUGGUAAUUUUUGGAAAUAGUUGAAUUUUCCGGCGAGCCGGGGGCGGCCAACCGCCACCCGCGGCGGCCCGCGCGGCGGCGCGUGGCCAAUGGCCCGCCAAUGUGUCAUUAUUAGCUUGUGAUUAAGGUUCUAGGUUCUGUUUUGAUAAUUGAUGGACGUAAAUUGAAUAAUUGAACCUAAGUUGGUUACGAUUCGGGGUUAGGUGAAAAUGUGAAUUGACGAUCCGACCGUUGGAUCGUCAUCAAACUUUGAUACGUUGUAAUACGUAAUAUUUGAGGAUUAUAGGAACUUACGGAUUGGGAAUCCGAUUUACGGAUAUUCCGGAAUUGGAAUUGUAAGUUCAUAAAAUAGAAUGUUAACCGUCACUUAGUUUUGGAAAUUGACGGAGAUCCGACCGUUGGAUGGUAACGAAAUUUUAGGAUGUUGUCCUAGAGGUAUAUUGUGGACCUCUGGAAGUUUCGGAUUUGAAAUCUGAAUUGCAGAUCAUCCGGAUCGAACUACGUAGUGACGUGUCUUCUAUAAGUUAUGUAUUCUAUCGGCAGGAUUUCUGAGGUUGGGUUUGAUUAUUGUUCUAGGUGCUAAUCUUCAUGACGCCUUGAUGUGUGGUGCGAGGGAGUUGUUGAGCGAACUCCAGGUGAGUGGGCAGUUUUGUUUUCGUAUUACCUUUAUACUAUAAAUUUUUCCCAGAAGACGAAUUUAUACGAAAUUAUGUUUUGAAAAUGCCAUGCAUAGAAUUAUUUGGAAAAUGUGAAUUUCAUAUGAGUUAUAUGAUUGAUAUAUGAUGCAUACAUGUUGCAUGGUGCUGUGGAGGCACAGGUAAGUCAGGUGAGUUCAUUAUUCAUUUAAUUGAUUGUUGAUAAGAUGUUUUCAAGCUCAUAACCUGCACCCUAGGUGUUAGUGCCUUAUUUUAUUCACCACACCGCACGCUCGCCUUGGAUCCAAGUAGGUGGAUGUCGUACAGACCAUGUGAGGGUUCCGACAUGCUAGUCGUAUAGAUCACUAGGCGUGAUGAUUCCGACUAGUGGGUGAUCUUAGUUAUGCGCGCUGAUGAUGAUAUGAUGAAGAAGCCACUAGAGCGUAUUUUUACACCUUUCAUCGUACAGACUACCUUACGUGUAGUUCCGAGUGAUGUGCAGAGUAGGGCCGUAUAGGUCACUGUGGUGACUCCGGCUUAGUGAGAUAUUGAGCUAUUGAAUUUAAUCGUAUAGGACCAACUGCAGGGUCUCCGAUUGAUUCCUUAUUUCACCUGAUUUAUAUUUUUUGAUUUAUGGCAUGGCAUGUUUUUCUUGAAAAAUGUUAAAGAUUUGGGAUUCAAGUUUUGAGAUUUCAUAUGGUUAUAUAUAUAUAUUUUUCUGAAAAGUGUUAAAGGUUUGAGAUUUGAGAUUUUUGCUUAUAUAUAUGUUUAUACAUAUGCUAUUUUCUGGGAAAGUAUACAGGUUUUUACGGUGAGGGGUUAGAAUUAUAAAUUUUUUAAAUGAAAAGUUUUCGAAAAACUUUGUUUUUACUGACCCACUCAAUUUUGUUUUGCGCCCCUCCAGGUUCAAGUUAGCAGAGCUUUGGUGGCCACGAGGAAUCCAACGGUGUUAUGACAGAAUUCACAAAAGUAGGACUCACCCUCGGGUGUGUCAUCUUAGUAAUUGGAAAUUUUUUUUUAAAGCUUCUGAACUAUGUAAAUGGUUACGUCACUCUCACGUGACGGCCAGCACGCCCUCCUUCGGGACGGGGUGUGUCAGUUGGUAUCAGAGCCUAGGUUGCAAUUCUGGACAUCUUGAGAAUUUCCUAGUGUCUUCUGUCAGAACUAUACCGCCUCAUAGCGAGCCACGUAGUUCGGAUGAGCCUAAAUUCCUGAUGAUAUAGUAGUUUGGGGGGAAAAAUUAUUGUCACUAUGAUUCAGUCUAUUAUCUAAAGGAACCUUUUGAGACUGAUUAUAAGUUAAAUUUGAAUACAGACUUGCCUUGUUUCCAUUCGGAUGUUGUUACUAAUCCGGUCGAGGUGUUAUGUCGUUUUUGGCGGGAUAAUAAGAAGAAGUGACGUUCUUUGGCGACCACAAUCCAUUGUACUUUUUACCAGGAGUUUACGAGAUGUUGUUGGGCUUUUGAGGACUUUGAGAAUAUGAUCAGCGAGAGUAAAGAAGAAUAAGAAAAGAAUGGUAAUUAGAGGAAAGGUGAGAAAGUUAAAGAUCCGUCAUAUCAAGGACGUCGAAAGACUCAGAGCUUCAAAAGAAGUGAAGUUAGAACUAAUUCUUCCAACUGAGGUUUUAGUGCCACUGGUCCGAGGCGAAGUGAUAGAUUUAACGGGUGAUCCCAGAUCUUAAAGACAAGGUGACUCGAGUAAGGGAAAUGUACCUUUGUGCCAUAGGUAUAAUAUUAGACACUUUGGAGAGUGUGGGAAUCAGUGAAUGUGUUCAUGUGGACGGAUGGGACAUAAGAGGUAUGAAUUUUGUCCCUGGAAUCAGUUGUUACCCAAUAGUCUUCCUUAACAUAUCACUUGGAAAUAUUGACGAGUAAGUCGUACAGGUCACUAUAUGUGACUCCGACUUAUGUGCUAGCAUGGAUGGUCGAGUUGUAGACUCAGUCGUACAGGUCAUUCUAGCUGACUCCGGCUGAUAUAUUUCUUAUUAUGGUCGAUGUUGCCAAAGAAAGUAAUGUUGGAGCACGAUCGAGGCGUAUUUAUGUAUUUCUAAGGAAGAACAAGAUGAUAAUAUUACACCCCUCAGGAAUUGUUACUUAGUUAUCGAGACAACAAUGAGUUAUUUGUAUUGCGGGCUGCAGACCGUAAUAUUUAUAACUUAUUUGUUGGAUUCGUUAAGUAAGUAAACAAGUAAGGCACUUUAUGUUGAUUUGGUUUAUUAAGGGUGUCCAGUGAUGGUGAAAAAUGUCAUGUCAGUGAAUUUUAUUCCGUUGGAUAUUAUAGAUUUUGAGGUGAUUAUUUUUUGCACCAGUGGGUGCAGUAUAAUUGUGUCAAGCUAGAUUGCUAUGGGGAAUCAGUUAAUUUUUGUUGACCUGGAUGACCAGAGGUUACUUUUGGGGGUAAGUAAAGUGGAGUGAGUUAUGCCAUUAUUCAUGUUGAGAGAGCAAAGAAGAUUGUUAUCAAAAGGCUGCCAAGAUAUUGAGUUCAUAUGGUGCUAAAUGAUGUUGAUCCUAAUAGUAUGAAAGAUGUAAAGAUGGUUAGACAUUUUCUUGGUGUAUUCCCAGAUGACUUACCUAGAUUGCCGCCAGGCAGAGAUGUGGGUUCCAUUAUUGAAUUGUUUUUAGGUACAAAUCCUAUGUUAGAAAUUGGUUCAGGUUGAGUUAAAAGUUCCAUUCAACUUAUUAUAUCACAUUGGAAAAGCUCCGGUUUAUUUGUGAGGAAGAAAGUGGACAUUAAGGCUAGGCAUUGAUAUUAGGUAAUUGAAUCGGGUAACGAUUGAGAGCUGUUAUCCAUUGUUGUGUAUUGAUGAUUAUUUGAUCAGCUCUGAGGCGCCUGGGUACUUUCUGAGAUUGACUUGAGGUCUGAAUGAUAUUAGUUGAAGAUUAACAGUGGGGAUGUCCAUAAGACUGAAUCCAGGACUCGUUAUGGUCAUUUCAAGUUGGGAUGCCAUACAGAGUGACGAAUGCACCUGCUACUUUUAUGAGCUUACUGAAGGAAGUAUUCCAGUGAUAUCUAGAUCGAUUUGUUGUUGUUGCCAUUGACGAGAUUGAUAAGAUUAGAGCAGUGCAUGCUAGAUAUUUAAAGUUGGUGUUGCAAAGAUUGAAGGAACGUUGAUGUAUGCUAAGUUUAGCAAAUGCUAAUGUUGGAUAAAUUAAUUAUAUCUACUUAAGGUAUUCAAGUGGAUUCUUAAAAGAGUAGCAACGAUUGAGAAUUUGGAACAAUUGCGAACCGUGACUGAGGUUCAGAGUUUUCUCGGAUUAGCAGGAUAUUGUCGAUAGUUCGUCCAAGAUUUUAAUUAUUGCUUCGCCCUUGGCGAGAUUGAUGAGAAAAGAGGUUAGUUUGAGUGGGAUGAAAAAUUGUGAGUAGAGCUUCAGCAAGUAAAGUAUUCCCUCACUCAUGCAUCUGUUUUCGCACUCCCAAACGAUAGUGGUAAUUACGUGGUCUAUAGUAAUACUUCUUUGAAUGUUCUUGAAUGCGCGUUGAUGCAGCAUGGUAGGAUGAUUGCCUAUGCUUCAUGGCCAUUGGGAUCUCAUAAGAUGAAUUACCCUAAUUAUAAUUUGGAAUUAGCAGCUAUCAUCUUUGCUUUGAGAAUUUGGAGACAUUGUCUUUAUGGGAAGAAAAGUGCAUGAUUGUUACAAAUCAAAAGAGUACCCAAUAUCUGUUUAUUCAGAGGUAUCUUAAUCUUAGGCAACAAAGGUGGAAUGAGUUGCUUAGUGAUUAUGAUUGUGUGACGAGGGUGGUCAAGCUAAUGUUGUGGCUGAUGCAUUUAGUAGGAAGACCCCAGUGAGAAUUAAUGCUUGGUAUGCUUGCUAUGUUCAUCUUCUUGUGGAUUUGAAAUCUACUGGAGUAAAGUUGAGUAUCAAAAAUCGAGAAGAAGCCUUACUUGCUAAUUUCUAAGUUGGACCCAUUUGGUAGAUCGUACUCGAUACUCAAGCGUUUGACGAAGAAAUUCAAGAAUUUAUUUAAAGUAAGGAAUAACGGGAUAAAGAAGGACCUUAGAGUUAGAGAAUCAGAUGGCAAGCUUAUGCAAGGGAACAAAGUGUUUAUGCCUAAUGGUGUGGAAUUAAAUAAAGCAAUUUUGACGAUGUACAUUAUUCCACUUCUACAAUGCAUCCCAAAAGUACUAAGAUUUAUCAUACCAUUCGUUCAUGUACUAUUGACGGGUAUGAAAAGAGGAAUGGCGAAGUAUGUUAGUAGGCGUAUCAUCAGUCAUCAGGUUAAAGCAGAAAGAAAUAAGUCUUUUGGAAUAAUGUAGUCAUUUCUCAUUCCACGGCGGAAAUGGGAGAAUAUUACUAUGGAUUUCAUGGACAAGCUUCCUCGUAUACCAAAUAGUUAGGUUGGAGUUUGAAUAAUAAUUGAUUGACUUGUGACGUCAGCGCAUGUUACUUCAGUAUGAGAACAUCAACCUUUCCAGAUAAGCGCAACAGUUAUUUAUUUGUUUUAUGGAAAAAGGAGAUUGGGAUCUGUUAAACUUCUUGGGUAUGUUGGUUCCUUCAGUUUGUUCCCUAGAGUAACGCCAUAAGGCCGUGGAAAGCUAUGUCUUGUGUUUCGAAAUUGUUAGAAUUGGGGACGGAUGAUAUUCAAGACUCUGAGUUUGGUGAAAAUUUAUGGAGGAAUCUUUCAGUGGAAGAAACUACUUGAAAGUCAAAGAAUCGAAUGAGAGAGAUGUGUUUCGGGCUGUUUCAUGGAUAUUGAUGGAUUGUAAAGAUUGUGUAAAUUUCGAGGACGAAAUUUCUGUAAGGUGGGUAGAUUGUGACAGCCCGUCCCUAAUUUUAAGAAUUUUUAAAGUUUUAAUAAAGGAUUUUACAAAAAUGCCCUUCGAGGCACGCACAUCAUUCGAGGUUAAUCGUUGUGUCGUGCCAUCUAAGAUUUGUUUUCUUGACAUAUCCUCGUCGUUACGGACGUGUGGGCGCAGACGGUUCGUGAUUUGGAGUUAUAUCGAAGAAGUUAUUAACGUUUGAAAUUUGGAAUUUUAAGGAAUUAUAACUUUAGUAAAAUAUAGAAUUCUUUUAUGAAAUUGGACGGCCCAGAUUUAUUGAUGAAUGAAAUGGAUGGCUGGGAUGAGGGAAAGGUUUUUGGUGUGUGUAUGUGUAUGAGAAGAAGAAACAGAAAACAGAAAAGAAGAAGAGACUGGGCAGAAAUGCCCAAUCGGAGAAGAAGAAGGUGAGAGCAAACCAGAAGAAGGGAGAGGAAGAAGCUGACCAAUCAGGGGACGGAAAGGAGGGAAAGGAGGGAGAGUGGUGCGCGGGGGAACAGGAGGAAUGGGUCACCCUUGACCCGCGCGACCCAAGCUUCCAAAUCGGCGGGUUUUCGCCAUUUCCGUCCAAAUUUCCGACGAAUUGAGUCAAGGUACCACUCCUAAUCAUCAUCUAGGCCUUCCCUCUUUACGUUUCACCCCAAGAAUCAUUGAAUUUCGUUGUGAUUUCGCGAAGAACACCCCUACGGGUGCCGCGACCCUUUUGUUUAAAUUCUCCAAAUUUUGAAAUGUUUUCUUUCAAUUACUAACACCUUUAGCAUUCCUUUAGGACCUAGAACAAAGCCCAAGAGGUAAUUGAGGCGUUGGAACAAGUUUGAAGGUCGAAUUGGAAACACCCAAAUUCUAGGGUUCUUCACGGUUUUGGUGAAAUUGAAGCACUUCCAGGCCAAAUUGGCCUUGGUCUCAGGUAUGAAAGUUGUUCUACUCAUUGAGAUCUUCAAAUCUGCAAAUUUUUGGUAAUUUUUGGAAAUAGUUGAAUUUUCCGGCGAGCCGGGGGCGGCCAACCGCCACCCGCGGCGGCCCGCGCGGCGGCGCGUGGCCAAUGGCCGCCAAUGUCAUUAUUAGCUUGUGAUUAAAGGUUCUAGGUUUCUGUUUUGAUAAUUGAUGGACGUAAAUUGAAUAAUUGAACCUAAGUUGGUUACGAUUCGGGGUUAGGUGAAAAUGUGAAUUGACGAUCCGACCGUUGGAUCGUCAUCAAACUUUGAUACGUUGUAAUACGUAAUAUUUGAGGAUUAUAGGAACUUACGGAUUGGGAAUCCGAUUUACGGAUAUUCCGGAAUUGGAAUUGUAAGUUCAUAAAAUAGAAUGUUAACCGUCACUUAGUUUUGGAAAUUGACGGAGAUCCGACCGUUGGAUGGUAACGAAAUUUUAGGAUGUUGUCCUAGAGGUAUAUUGUGGACCUCUGGAAGUUUCGGAUUUGAAAUCUGAAUUGCAGAUCAUCCGGAUCGAACUACGUAGUGACGUGUCUUCUAUAAGUUAUGUAUUCUAUCGGCAGGAUUUCUGAGGUUGGGUUUGAUUAUUGUUCUAGGUGCUAAUCUUCAUGACGCCUUGAUGUGUGGUGCGAGGGAGUUGUUGAGCGAACUCCAGGUGAGUGGGCAGUUUUGUUUUCGUAUUACCUUUAUACUAUAAAUUUUUCCCAGAAGAUGAAUUUAUACGAAAUUAUGUUGAAAAUGCCAUGCAUAGAAUUAUUUGGAAAAUGUGAAUUUCAUAUGAGUUAUAUGAUUGAUAUAUGAUGCAUACAUGUUGCAUGGUGCUGUGGAGGCACAGGUAAGUCAGGUGAGUUCAUUAUUCAUUUAAUUGAUUGUUGAUAAGAUGUUUCAAGCUCAUAACCUGCACCCUAGGUGUUAGUGCUUAUUUUAUUCACCACACCGCACGCUCGCCUUGGAUCCAAGUAGGUGGAUGUCGUACAGACCAUGUGAGGGUUCCGACAUGCUAGUCGUAUAGAUCACUAGGCGUGAUUCCGACUAGUGGGUGAUCUUAGUUAUGCGCGCUGAUGAUAUGAUGAGAGAAGCACUAGAGCGUAUUUUUACACCUUUCAUCGUACAGACUACCUUACGUAGUUCCGAGUGAUGUGCAGAGUAGGGCCGUAUAGGUCACUGUGGUGACUCCGGCUUAGUGAGAUAUUGAGCUAUUGAAUUAAUCGUAUAGGACCAACUGCAGGGUCUCCGAUUGAUUCCUUAUUUCACCUGAUUUAUAUUUUGAUUUAUGGCAUGGCAUGUUUUUCUUGAAAAAUGUUAAAGAUUUGGGAUUCAAGUUUUGAGAUUUCAUAUGGUUAUAUAUAUAUAUUUUUCUGAAAAGUGUUAAAGGUUUGAGAUUUGAGAUUUUUGCUUAUAUAUAUGUUUAUACAUAUGCUAUUUUCUGGGAAAGUAUACAGGUUUUACGGUGAGGGGUUAGAAAUAUUUUAAAUGAAAAGUUUUCGAAAAACUUUGUUUUACUGACCCACUCAAUUUUGUUUUGCGCCCCUCCAGGUUCAAGUUAGCAGAGCUUUGGUGGCCACGAGGAAUCCAACGGUGUUCUGACAGAAUUCACAAAAGUAGGACUCACCCUCGGGUGUGUCAUCUUAGUAAUUGGAAAUUUUUUUUUAAAGCUUCUGAACUAUGUAAAUGGUUACGUCACUCUCACGUGACGGCCAGCACGCCCUCCUUCGGGACGGGGUGUGUCAAUUUUAGUUUAUAUGACAAAGUACAAAAAAUAUAUAAAUUUAUAUGAAAUUUAAAUAAAAAUAUAAAAUCCUAUGCCUCCUCUUACAAUAAUUUGCCAAUUUGGUACCAAAGCUUGACUU
Molecule: long non-coding RNA, 8540 nt
Filed under: Malus domestica (apple)
Lineage: Eukaryota; Viridiplantae; Streptophyta; Magnoliopsida; Rosales; Rosaceae
Description: long non-coding RNA (MDOM_LNC001428)
Source: RNAcentral